GGUCGGCUCGACUCGGAGGUCGCAAGGUCGGGUGCGAAAUAAGGGUCGAGUGUGUGGUGUCGUAUUGGUACGUUGUCGUUGUUGUUUCCGACGGCAAGACACGCUAGGCCGCAUCGUUUCCAUUGCCCCCCGAGUACAUACGGUUAGUUGGCCGCUCUGCGUGGUACUAGGACUAUGACCGGGACGACCAGUAAAGACUACCUCAACCGUGACGGUGGACGAGUUGUCAGGGGCCAUUGUCGUGCCUGUACGAGAGCAACGAUAUAAAGUUCGCCCGGUAGUGGUUGCUAGGUUCCGUUCAGAACCCGAGAACCUUGCGGUCGUAGGGCGUAACGUUCACCCUCCCCCAGUUGACGUCGGAGUGUGUGGGUCCAGCGUAGUGCCUCGACUUGGAACGGCUCGUUCCCAACAGUCCAGGCUAAAGGGGUAGGGAACCCUUGGACUGCAAGGAACUCUGUGACCUGGAUAGGUGUUUAUCGAAGUGACCGCUCAAUGGAGGUGAGUUGUCAGAGGUAUCUGACGUUUUUGAAACCGACUCACUUUUGAGAAACGUUCCCUAGUAAGGUCGGUGUGAAUGUUUAUCAAGGUUGGAUUUAAGGAAUAUAGAUAGACCAUUGAGGGACUAUCCACUUUAGGGGGAAUUAUAUCCGAACGAAAGGUUUAAUAGUCUUAAUGUCUAACGGCUUUUAUUAGAGUGGCCUUGCUAGGGUGGUUCGGACUUUUUGUAGUCGGUCAAUCUUCAUUAGCUAGAACGUCUAUUAGUUGAGUACCCAUCGUAAGGAUUACUCUAUCCCGUUAAAGGCUUAGACCGUCAAAAUAAUGAACCACCAUAAUGGGAUAGUCCAUCAUAGGGUUGUUGGAACGAAUUAGUUAGAAUAGACGUUUAAAAUCUGAAUUCAUGGUUAUACUAUCCCUUGUGUAACGGUGGAUUAAAACCACUAUGGGAGGGCUCCGAGCGUACCGAGUGUAACCUGAUAUUGUUUAAACUUCCAGUGUAGGGUCGAAGCGAUCCAUUAUAAAGUCCCGAUAGUUGUAACCUGGAUAGUAAGUUGUUUAACUGUCGAGUUCAAGGUUCAAGAGAACCAUCCGAACCUUACAACUUGCUAGAUUUGGAAGUCUUAUUAUUUGAACUUCGUUUCCUAUAAGUUUCGACCCUUAAGUAUCUACGUAACUCGUUAACGUGUAGAGACGUUCAAGAACGUCAUCCAGUUUUAGUCAAUGUUCCUCGAUAUGGUUUAAGACAAUCGUUGGACAGUUCGUUUGAAGUUUAUGAUUGUAAUCUAUCUUUGCUGAACAGUCCCUGUUAUGGGUGAUUGUACCCCUUAGAAUCACCGAAUUGUAAUGAUUUGAACGCAUCUUUGUUCGAGUCGCCAAGGUAACUUCCUACCCAACCUUUCGACUUUUUAGAUCGUUAAAAUCAAGAACUACUCUUAUUGAAGUGACCGGGUUAUGGUUUGAGAUAGCCAUUAGAAUGAUUUAACUAUUUCUAGAUAGAUCGUUCGUUACUCAAACUUCCAGGCUAUGGGAGGUCAUACACUUUGAAGUGGUACGAGUGUUCCAACUUGGAAUCAAUAUUGUUAGAUGUCCCAUUGUAAGGAUCCCUCUAGAAGGUGUGACCGAGGUGUGACUGGUAUACACGUAAUAGGAUGUUAUUGAAUGUUCCUUGUUAUGGAUGUCUCAAGUCAUUAGAAUCCGUCGAUCAACUCGACAUAGAAAGUAGGUUGUUUGAAAGACCCCUUUAAGGAUCACGAAAUCCACUCACAGUUCUCGACGUCUAGGAGGUUUACCUGGUCUUAUAAGAGUGUCCCCUAUAAGGCCUCAGAAACUCGUUAGACUUCUCGAACCACCACGAGUUGAAAAGUGUAUUGUCAGACAGACCUAGGUAAGGCUGUAGUUAUUCACUGGACUUUAUAGACUUGGUCGAUCUGGAGAGAAUGUUGGUAUAAGUACCUCUUCAUGGUUCUUUACCCCAUAAACUUUUACAGUACCGACAAAGAGAGCUACCCUUAAGCCCUGAAACACCACCUCGUCACCUAGAAGCAUACGGGUGAACGAGACGAUAAAGAGUCUCUUUUCCUUCUGACAUGAUGAACCAGUCUCAUACAUAGGGAAACCAACCGAAGUGUAGUGAGCAUAAUAAGCGAAUGAAACAUGAGGACCUCUCGUUCUGCGGUUCUUCUUGUAUGAAUGACAACGAAAGAAAACCGUUCGUAAAAGGAUCUCAAUGGAUGUCCCUAGAUCGAGUUCGAUGUGUCUCGAAAAGACUCAGUUUGGACCAACCCUCUCCUUCGAUGCCAAGUCAUAUAUCUCCUUUCAAUUGAGUUCGUUUUUAUGUUCACCGAUAAUUUCAAAAACUGGAGCUACACUCUAUGCGUCUGUUUUCAAAGUAAAGUCUUACGCUCCAAAACUCUUCAUAAGCUGUAGCUUUAGAACAAAGAUAGAAUUGUCGUACGAGUUGUUAUCUAUUACUACCAUUGUGAAAGUUUCGAGAUUAAAUACUCAAGUACGGUUUGCCCUUAAACCUGUGUACCAAUGUGUGUUUUAGACGACCGCUUCCAGGUUCCUAAAACUCGAAUCCCGUUUCUUAUUCGUAGCGACAAUUAUAGCGACUACGUAACCGGAUGGACGUGGUACUAUAGUGUUCUAGGUAACAGGUAACGCUAAACUUUGGGUCGUUAUAGGAGGACCUGUGACUAUACUUACGUAUAAACCCACUGAAACCGUAACGUUUGGAGCAGGCAUUAAGUUUCAGUUGUAGUCAACCCGUAAGUUCAAGUCGGAGUUGAAGUCUACCGAGUUAACCUAACUUCCCUUGAUAUCCUAUAUAACGAGGUCUCAUACGAGUUUGACCGGUUCGUAGUUGAAUACCCCUGUAAAUGUCAAAACCUCAACAAGAAGAUCUCUACGACUAUCUAUUCUCUGGUUGUCUGGGAUAAAAACUGUUACUUGAGUUGUAACAGUUAAAGCGUCUCUCCUUGAGAGGUCUAGUCUAUGACGUAUAGUAACUACUAGUAGAGGUUCUUCUCACGUUCCCUAAGUAAGCACGUUGUCGCCUUCGUCCUUUGCACCAUAUAGUCACGAACCACAGGGAACACGUUCAUCGAGACAGAACAUGGGCAGACAAGGGUUCUCUUGCUUACUUGUACUCUCUUCAUCGGUACUUUAACGUCCGUCGGUCUUGUAGUAUAUAUACAACCUCGUUUGUUUGGUCUCGUUCGAUACGGUGUGAUCUCACU
This 3236-nucleotide ribosomal RNA is filed under the name Triticum aestivum (bread wheat). RNAcentral describes it as "partial small subunit ribosomal RNA". The record is from RNAcentral. Lineage: Eukaryota; Viridiplantae; Streptophyta; Magnoliopsida; Poales; Poaceae.